GGAUGCGAUCAUACCAGCACUAAAGCAUCGGAUCCCAUCAGAACUUCGAAGUUAAGCGUGCUUGGGCGAGAGUAGUACUAGGAUGGGUGACCUCCCGGGAAGUCCUCGUGUUGCAUUCC
Molecule: ribosomal RNA, 119 nt
Filed under: Triticum aestivum (bread wheat)
Lineage: Eukaryota; Viridiplantae; Streptophyta; Magnoliopsida; Poales; Poaceae
Source: RNAcentral